AGGGAGUGAGAGAGGUAGAGAUAGAGGGAGAAGGAGUGAGGAAGAAAGAGAGAGAAGGAUAGGAAGAGGAGGAUGGGGAAGGAAAAAUGGAGGCAAUCCAGAGAGGAAGAUAAACAUGUUGAAGGAGUAUAGGCCUGUUAUUUCAGAGGGUAACGAAGUUGAACUGAAGUUGCAAAACAAGGCUGAUCAGGAUGAAAUUUCUGUGGUUCGUAGUGGAAUAGCUAGUUUAAGAGUUGGAGAUGUAAAUGAAACUCGGGGGCGGGACAACAGGGCGAAAGAGGAUGGAGCUGAAGGGGGAGGCUCAAAUGUGGAUAAAGUGGCAGUUGAGAUUGAGAAGAAGGAGGAUCAUAAGGUUUUAGCUAGAAAAGGAGAAAACCGGGGGCCUUGGAAGGGGCAUCGAGCAAUUGGAAUCCGGGGGCAUGACAGCAAGGAAAAAGAGGGCGGAGUUGAAGGGGAACGCUCAAAUGGUGAGAUAGUGGCAGUGGAGAUUGAAAAGAAGGUGGAUCAUAAGGUUGUAUCAAGAAAAGGUGAAAACAGGAGCCAUGGGAGGGGAUAUCGAGAAAAUAGAAUCUGGGGGCGAGAGAACAAUGCCAAAGAUGAUGGAGUUGAAGGUGGGGGCUCAAAUGGUGAGGAAGUGGCAGUGGAGAUUGAGAAGAAUGUGGAUCAUAAGGUUUUACCAAGAAAAGGUGAAAACAGGAGCUAUGGGAGGGGAUAUCGAGAAAAUGAAAUAUCUGAGCGAGAGAACAAGACCAAAGAGGAUGGAGUUGAAGGUGGAGGCUCAAAUGGUGAGGAAGUGGCAGUGGAGAUUGAGAAGAAUGUGGAUCAUAAGGUUUUACCAAGAAAAGGUGAAAACAAGAGCUAUGGGAGGGGAUAUCGAGAAAAUGAAAUUUGGGAGGGAGAGAACAAGGCCAAAGAGGAUGGAGUUGAAGGUGAAGGCUCAAAUGGUGAGGGAGUUGUGGUGGAGAUUGAGAAGAAGGUGGAUCAUAAGGUUUUACCAAGAAAAGGUGAAAACAGGCGCUAUGGGAGGGCAUAUCGAGAAAAUGGCAUUUGUGGGCCAGAGAACAAGGCCAAAGAGGAUGGAGUUGAAGGGGGAGGCACAAAUAGUGAGGCAUUGACAAUGGAGAUUGAGAAGAAGGUGGAUCAUAAGGUUUUACCAAGAAAAGGUGAAAACAGGAGCUUACAGCGUGCAUAUCCAGCAAAUGCGAACUGGAGGGGAGCUUUUGGGAGGGGAAUGAGCCACACGAGGCCGGACAAAUAUGAUGACUUCAGUAUGAAACCGAGAGAGAGAAUUAUGGUGUGGGUGAAAAAAGAAGACAAGCUGAAUGCAUGAUGCUACUGAACUUGGAUUCUUCGAUAAGAUUCAUUUUUGUCACAAGUAAAGUGAAGUGGAUGAUAUUGGUGAAUAUGGACAUUGGAGGUGAUCUCUGUUGGCAAAGCUCGUUUAUUAAUAGAGCCGUGAGGAGCUUCAGUACAUCAUGAGGAGCGAGUGAAAUACAUACCAAUCAGAAGAACAACGAUUUCUAUCAGUGCGACUGUCGUAGUUCCAAACGGGCUGGCUACUUCUGAGGCUGAAUCUGCCUUUAUUGUUUCUUUAGCACAGUUCGGGGUCCAGUAUAUUCUUGUAAUGUCAUUUAUGCAGUAAAUAUGCAUCUCCUUCUUGAUGUAUUUGGUACAUAUACAGUAUUAAAUAUUCUGAAUUCUGAUUCUUAAGCUCAAAA
Molecule: RNA transcript, 1718 nt
Organism: Salvia splendens (bonfire salvia)
Lineage: Eukaryota; Viridiplantae; Streptophyta; Magnoliopsida; Lamiales; Lamiaceae
Exons: 3
Source: RefSeq, a predicted model, not a curated record